RNAcentral lists this ribosomal RNA (274 nucleotides) under uncultured bacterium. RNAcentral's name for it is "partial 16S ribosomal RNA". It matches the Rfam family "Bacterial small subunit ribosomal RNA", at positions 523 to 796 of the family's 1533-position model. The record is from RNAcentral.
AUACGGAGGGGGCUAGCGUUGUUGGGAUUUACUGGGCGUAAAGCGCGCGUAGGCGGCAAGGUCAGUCGGAUGUGAAAGCCCCGGGCUUAACCUGGGAAUUGCAUUCGAAACUGCCUGGCUAGAGUAUGGGAGAGGGAAGCGGAAUUUCCGGUGUAGCGGUGAAAUGCGUAGAUAUCGGAAGGAACACCAGUGGCGAAGGCGGCUUCCUGGCCCAAUACUGACGCUCAGGUGCGAAAGCGUGGGUAGCGAACAGGAUUAGAAACCCCAGUAGUCC